CUACACAUGCAAGUCGAGCGGUAGAGAGAAGCUUGCUUCUCUUGAGAGCGGCGGACGGGUGAGUAAUGCCUAGGAAUCUGCCUGGUAGUGGGGGAUAACGUUCGGAAACGGACGCUAAUACCGCAUACGUCCUACGGGAGAAAGCAGGGGACCUUCGGGCCUUGCGCUAUCAGAUGAGCCUAGGUCGGAUUAGCUAGUUGGUGGGGUAAUGGCUCACCAAGGCGACGAUCCGUAACUGGUCUGAGAGGAUGAUCAGUCACACUGGAACUGAGACACGGUCCAGACUCCUACGGGAGGCAGCAGUGGGGAAUAUUGGACAAUGGGCGAAAGCCUGAUCCAGCCAUGCCGCGUGUGUGAAGAAGGUCUUCGGAUUGUAAAGCACUUUAAGUUGGGAGGAAGGGCAUUAACCUAAUACGUUAGUGUUUUGACGUUACCGACAGAAUAAGCACCGGCUAACUCUGUGCCAGCAGCCGCGGUAAUACAGAGGGUGCAAGCGUUAAUCGGAAUUACUGGGCGUAAAGCGCGCGUAGGUGGUUUGUUAAGUUGGAUGUGAAAUCCCCGGGCUCAACCUGGGAACUGCAUUCAAAACUGACUGACUAGAGUAUGGUAGAGGGUGGUGGAAUUUCCUGUGUAGCGGUGAAAUGCGUAGAUAUAGGAAGGAACACCAGUGGCGAA
This 675-nucleotide ribosomal RNA is filed under the name bacterium 23_oclvp517. RNAcentral's name for it is "bacterial SSU rRNA". It matches the Rfam family "Bacterial small subunit ribosomal RNA", at positions 49 to 719 of the family's 1533-position model. The record is from RNAcentral. RNAcentral also lists the same sequence under 1 other name.